UUUAAUUUGAAUUUUGAAAUUUGGAGUUUGUCUUUCUUUUUUGACAGCAAAAUAUGAUGAAUUAUGUUAAUAUAUUGCCUAUAUUGAACCAUCUUUGCAAUCCUGGAACACUCCACUUGGCUGUGGUUUACUAUUCUGUAAAUACGCUGUCAGAAUCUCGCUGCCCCUGUUCAGGAUGUUUAUAUCAACGUUCCUAGGUUAGGGUGAUCUGUAGAUUAUUUUUGUGCUGUCUUUAUCUGGUUUUGGUAACAAUGGUGUGAAACCCAAAUAUCUUCACAGUCUCUGCAAUGGCAGCUCCCCCGGCCCACCAACUCCUAACUCCCUGGUUUGAUAAAGGAACGUCCGUGGGGGGCAGGUGUGACUUCUUUAGUGGUCAGAACAGGAUAUUAACCACAUAUAAAGUAAUUUACAUAUUCUUGUAAUUUGCCAAUCUCUGAAUUCACUAUCCUUUUGAUGUGGGCUCGGCGAGUCAAGGAGUCGAAAGAAAGAUUUCUUGGACUCUCAAGGUCUGGCAGUAGUGCUCCUUUAUUCAGAGAAUAGCAUGGGGACAGGACCCAGGGGCAGUAAGAGCUGCAUGCAUGGGGACAGGACCCAGGGGCAGUAAGAGCUGCAUGCAUGGGGACAGGACCCAGGGGCAGUAAGAGCUGCAUGCAUGGGGACAGGACCCAGGGGCAGUAAGAGCUGCAGGCAUGGGGACAGGACCCAGGGGCAGUAAGAGCUGCAUGCAUGGGGACAGGACCCACGGGCAGUAAGAGCUGCAGGCAUGGGGACAGGGCCCAUGAGCAGUGAGGGGCUGCAAUGUGUUGAGGGUUAGGGCUAAAUUUAUAAGGCUUGGGUACAUGACUUAUUUUUACCAGACAAAGGAAAGAUGAUGUAAAAAGUCAUUAAAUGGAAUCAGUGCAGGUGGGGUCUGGUUAUUGUGUGGUCGUAUAACUUUAGAUAUGUAUUGGGUCGUAUAGAUCAGCAUGUAGGACAGGACACCGUGGGCUUCUCUACCUGGGGCAGCCUUGAUCCACAUCACUUUCACAAACAUUUUUGCCAACACAUUGCUUCCACUUUCUUCUGGAGGGAGAGAAUAGUAAUAAACCCACAUGAGGCCCAAAAUGUUCCAUCCUUGCUUAGCAAUAGUCAUUGGCCUUGGGGUCGGAGAAUGCUGGGUCGUGCAUCUGGCAAAGGAACUGUCUGAUUUGCUCUCUAAAUGUGUACGUGGGGAUUGUGCAAACCAACCCCCUCACUGAACACGCUUACCACCCUCUAGCUCAGCCCAUGCCUUCUCCAAGCACGGCUUUCCCCUGGGUGUUAGCAGCCCAGCAGGAAGAGAAACACUCCUAGUGGGGAAGUGGGCUCAUCAACUGUUGGCAGCAACGGAGACUUCGAGCAAGAUGCAAACUGAGAGCGUGGGACCCACACGCUCUGCACGCUCAGUCCAGGCUGCUUCUAAGAACAAACAUGAUCUAAGGCCUUCAGGCCAGCAUUCAGGCUCUGGGGCAAAGGUGUCUGAGCCACACCACGUCUUCCUGUGUGCAUCACCCAAGGGUGGUACCUGAAUUCAAGACUUGCCAAAGUAACAAUCAUGAAGACCAUGAUCACGUGAAACUGAUGCAAUUGUACCAGGAACCGACUUCAUUUUUUCUGUUGAAUAAAACAUUUAGUUUUUAUAUGAACAAUCUAUCUUGAUACACAAGGUUAUAAUUAGAGACAAUAAAAUAAAUCACGGAAUCAUGACACACCUAGCUAUUGUGUCUCAUUUGUAAGUUUAUAAGAGACUGCGGCACGCCAUAGGCUUACAAAAGAUGACUCUGUA
Long non-coding RNA from Equus caballus (horse), 1804 nucleotides. The record is from Ensembl. NCBI's taxonomy places the organism in Eukaryota, Metazoa, Chordata, Mammalia, Perissodactyla, Equidae.